CUAUGCGCCUUGCCAGCCCGCUCAGUCAGAGUUUGAUCCUGGCUCAGAACGAACGCUGGCGGCAGGCCUAACACAUGCAAGUCGAACGCCCCGCAAGGGGAGUGGCAGACGGGUGAGUAACACGUGGGAACCUUCCCUAUAGUACGGAAUAGCCCAGGGAAACUUGGAGUAAUACCGUAUACGCCCGAAAGGGGAAAGAAUUUCGCUAUAGGAUGGGCCCGCGUAGGAUUAGCUAGUUGGUGAGGUAACGGCUCACCAAGGCGACGAUCCUUAGCUGGUUUGAGAGAACGACCAGCCACACUGGGACUGAGACACGGCCCAG
This 322-nucleotide ribosomal RNA is filed under the name uncultured bacterium. Its description in RNAcentral is "partial 16S ribosomal RNA". It matches the Rfam family "Bacterial small subunit ribosomal RNA", at positions 1 to 334 of the family's 1533-position model. The record is from RNAcentral.